This 838-nucleotide ribosomal RNA is filed under the name Panorpodes paradoxus. Its description in RNAcentral is "partial 16S rRNA". The record is from RNAcentral. Lineage: Eukaryota; Metazoa; Arthropoda; Insecta; Mecoptera; Panorpodidae.
GAAGGUGUAUCUAGAAAGACAAAUUAGAGCUUGAAAAAUAAAGCAUUUCAUUUACAUUGAAAAGUAUAUUGUGUAAUUCAAUUUAAUUUGAUAAUAAAAAUUUAUUAAUUUUUUUUUUGUUUAAAAAUUUAUUUAAUAAAAUUAAUUUUAAAUUAAGUUUUUUUUGUAUAGUAUAUAGAUCAAAUAAUUUAUAUGAUAGUUAAUUAGUAUUGUAAAAGAAUAUUGAAAUAUUUGAAAAAAUUUUAAAUUAAAAGUAAAUUUUAUAUAUUGUACCUUGUGUAUCAGGGUUUAUUAAUUAAAAAUUAAAUCUUUAAUUUUUCUCGAAUUUAAGAGAGUUAAUUUAUUAUUUAAUUUUUUGUUUCAUAAAAAUUUAAAAUAAUAAAUUAGAAAUGAAAUGUUAUUCGUUCUUUAAUAUAUCUAGUUUUUUAAGAAAUAAAUUAAAUUUAGAUUAUUAAUAAAUAAUUAUUUAUUUAAAUAAUAAAUUAUUAUUAAUAAUUAAUAUUUUAAGGGAUAAGCUUUAAAAUAAGUUUUAUAAUGAUUUUUUAAUUUAAAAAUUAUAGGUUUAGAAAUAGUCAUUAAUUAUAAAAAUGUUAUAAUUUAUUUUAAGUUAAAAAUAAUUUUUAUUAAUUUAAGUUUUUAUUAAAAUAAUUUUUAAAAUUAUAUAAGAAUUAAAAUAAUGAUAAAAUUAGUAUAUUUAAUUGUUUAAAAUAAUUAAAUUGAGAGGUUAAAUUAAGGAAUUUGGCAAAUAAAUACUCGCCUGUUUAACAAAAACAUGUCUUUUUGAAUAUAAUUUAAAGUCUAAUCUGCCCACUGAAAAAUUUUAAAGGGCCGCGGUAUU